UAGGGAAUCUUCGGCAAUGGACGAAAGUCUGACCGAGCAACGCCGCGUGAGUGAAGAAGGUUUUCGGAUCGUAAUACUCUGUUGUUAGAGAAGAACAAGGACGGUAGUAACUGAACGUCCCCUGACGGUAUCUAACCAGAAAGCCACGGCUAACUACGUGCCAGCAGCCGCGGUAAUACGUAGGUGGCAAGCGUUGUCCGGAUUUAUUGGGCGUAAAGCGAGCGCAGGCGGUUUCUUAAGUUUGAUGUGAAAGCCCCCGGCUCAACCGGGGAGGGUCAUUGGAAACUGGGAGACUUGAGUGCAGAAGAGGAGAGUGGAAUUCCAUGUGUAGCGGUGAAAUGCGUAGAUAUAUGGAGGAACACCAGUGGCGAAGGCGGUUCUCUGGUCUGUAACUGACGCUGAGGCUCGAAAGCGUGGUGAGCAAACAGG
This 429-nucleotide ribosomal RNA is filed under the name Gemmatimonadota bacterium. Its description in RNAcentral is "Gemmatimonadetes bacterium partial 16S ribosomal RNA". It matches the Rfam family "Bacterial small subunit ribosomal RNA", at positions 355 to 776 of the family's 1533-position model. Lineage: Bacteria; Pseudomonadati; Gemmatimonadota. The record is from RNAcentral.